Molecule: small nuclear RNA, 104 nt
Organism: Cynocephalus volans (Philippine flying lemur)
Lineage: Eukaryota; Metazoa; Chordata; Mammalia; Dermoptera; Cynocephalidae
Source: RefSeq, a predicted model, not a curated record
GUGCUCACUUUGGCAGCACAUAUACUAAAAUUGCAAUAAUACAAAGAUUAGCAUCAUCCCUGAGCAAGAAUGACAUGCAAAUUCAUGAAAUUCUAUAUUAAAAA